UACCUGAAGAUGAAAGGGGACUACUACCGC
RNAcentral lists this non-coding RNA (30 nucleotides) under Homo sapiens (human). Lineage: Eukaryota; Metazoa; Chordata; Mammalia; Primates; Hominidae. RNAcentral also lists the same sequence under 1 other name. The record is from RNAcentral.